Molecule: ribosomal RNA, 259 nt
Filed under: uncultured Glomus
Lineage: Eukaryota; Fungi; Glomeromycota; Glomeromycetes; Glomerales; Glomeraceae
Description: partial 18S ribosomal RNA
Rfam family: Eukaryotic small subunit ribosomal RNA
Source: RNAcentral
AAGCUCGUAGUUGAAUUUCGGGGUUAGUAGGUUGGUCAUGCCUCUGGUAUGUACUGGUCUCACUGAUUCCUCCUUCCUUAUGAACCGUAAUGCCAUUAAUUUGGUGUUGUGGGGAAUUUGGACUGUUACUUUGAAAAAAUUAGAGUGUUUAAAGCAAGCUAACGCUUGAAUACAUUAGCAUGGAAUAAUGAAAUAGGACGUUCGAUCUUAUUUUGUUGGUUUUCUAGGAUUGACGUAAUGAUUAAUAGGGAUAGUUGGG